RNAcentral lists this long non-coding RNA (362 nucleotides) under Vitis vinifera (wine grape). RNAcentral describes it as "long non-coding RNA (VVIN_LNC004785)". Lineage: Eukaryota; Viridiplantae; Streptophyta; Magnoliopsida; Vitales; Vitaceae. The record is from RNAcentral.
AGACGAACCCUCAACUUCUGCAAAUCCAAAGGUGCCCAUGGGUCCUCCACCUCCCAAAUCCCAACCCACCGUCCAACCAAAUUCAAGCCCUACCCCUUUCUUCGAACCCUGUACUGAAGUCUCCGAACCCAGUACUGAAGUCUCCGAACCCCGUACCGAAGUCUCCGAACCCUGUACUGAAGUCUCCGAACCCAGUACUGAAGCCUCCGAACCCAGUACUGAAGCCUCCGAACCCAGAACUGAAGCCUCCGAACCCAGUACUGAAGCCUCCGAAAGCUCUGCAAUGCAGCCCAGUAAUAAUUCUACUCACCACCAGAAGACUCAGAGUGCUGCAGUUCCUUAUACGAUUCCUUCGUGGAGCG